UGGGGAAUAUUGCACAAUGGGCGCAAGCCUGAUGCAGCCAUGCCGCGUGUAUGAAGAAGGCCUUCGGGUUGUAAAGUACUUUCAGCGGGGAGGAAGGUGUUGCGGUUAAUAACCGCAGCAAUUGACGUUACCCGCAGAAGAAGCACCGGCUAACUCCGUGCCAGCAGCCGCGGUAAUACGGAGGGUGCAAGCGUUAAUCGGAAUUACUGGGCGUAAAGCGCACGCAGGCGGUCUGUCAAGUCGGAUGUGAAAUCCCCGGGCUCAACCUGGGAACUGCAUUCGA
This 283-nucleotide ribosomal RNA is filed under the name Enterobacteriaceae bacterium. Its description in RNAcentral is "partial 16S ribosomal RNA". It matches the Rfam family "Bacterial small subunit ribosomal RNA", at positions 355 to 630 of the family's 1533-position model. Lineage: Bacteria; Pseudomonadati; Pseudomonadota; Gammaproteobacteria; Enterobacterales; Enterobacteriaceae. The record is from RNAcentral.